This 606-nucleotide ribosomal RNA is filed under the name uncultured Acidobacteriota bacterium. RNAcentral describes it as "SSU rRNA". It matches the Rfam family "Bacterial small subunit ribosomal RNA", at positions 242 to 854 of the family's 1533-position model. The record is from RNAcentral. Lineage: Bacteria; Pseudomonadati; Acidobacteriota.
CAGCUUGUUGGCGAGGUAAUGGCUCACCAAGGCAAUGAUCGGUAGCCGGACUGAGAGGUUGGCCGGCCACACUGGAACUGAGACACGGUCCAGACUCCUACGGGAGGCAGCAGUGGGGAAUCUUGCACAAUGGACGAAAGUCUGAUGCAGCAACGCCGCGUGGGGGAUGAAGCUUCUCGGAGUGUAAACCCCUUUCGACCCGGAAGAAUGCCCGCAAGGGUAUGACGGUACGGGUAUAAGAAGCCCCGGCUAACUACGUGCCAGCAGCCGCGGUAAUACGUAGGGGGCCAGCGUUGCUCGGAAUUACUGGGCGUAAAGGGUCCGUAGGCGGUGUAGCAAGUCGAUAGUGAAAUCUCUGGGCUUAACCCAGAGGCUGCUAACGAAACUGCUGUGCUAGAGUGUGAGAGAGGCGAGUGGAAUUACGGGUGUAGCGGUGAAAUGCGUAGAUAUCCGUAGGAACAUCCGAGGCGAAGGCGGCUCGCUGGAUCACAACUGACGCUGAGGGACGAAAGCUAGGGGAGCAAACAGGAUUAGAUACCCUGGUAGUCCUAGCCCUAAACCAUCAGGACUUGGGGUUUGCCCUGUACGGGGCAAGUCCCGUAGCUA